RNAcentral lists this non-coding RNA (45 nucleotides) under Schistosoma margrebowiei. Lineage: Eukaryota; Metazoa; Platyhelminthes; Trematoda; Strigeidida; Schistosomatidae. The record is from RNAcentral.
AUUCAGAUGACGAGUCCCGAAUAGGACGAAACGCAUAUUUUGAAU